CCAUGAGGACAUCUGUGUCUCCAGACCCUCAGCUGUUGUAAAGUUGAACCAAGCCUUUGUCAUGCUAAGGUCCCAUCUUGCUUUGCAUUGCAGGCAGCUGAGAUGCUUCUCUUUGGGAAGAAGCUCACAGCAAGAGAGGCUUGGGCUCAAGGCCUUGUCACUGAAGUUUUCCCUGAAAGCACUUUUGAGACAGAAGUCUGGACCAGGCUGAAAACAUAUGCGAAGCUCCCGCCAAACUCCAUGAGAAUUUCCAAAGAGUUAAUCAGGAAGAAUGAGAAAGAAAAGCUCCAUGCAGUUAACGAGGAGGAGUGCACUACUUUACGAGCAAGGUGGCUGUCAGAGGAGUGCAUCAACGCAAUCAUGAGCUUUGUUACCAGAAAGCCAAAGCUGUGAAGUCCACGACAAUGGCAAGACUCCUCACAAGAAGGACAGACUGUGAGUUCCAGUUCCAAGGACUUGAAUGGCACAUACUUCUCUGAGCCUUUUCCUGGAUUAACUUAGCAACUAUGAUGAGAUUGCUUCACAGCACUGAUAAAUAGAACUUUUCAUAAAUCAAGCCUUAAGAAUUCAUGUCUGGGGCUGGAAAGAUGGCUCAGUGGUUAAGAGCACUAACUGCUCUUCUAGAGGUCCAGAGUUCAAAUCCCAGCAACCACAUGGUGGCUCGCAACCAUCUGUAAUGAGAUCUGAUGCCUUCUUCUGGUGUGUCUGAAGACAGCUACAGUGUACUUACAUAUAAUAAAUAUUAAAAAGAUUUUAAACAAA
Molecule: long non-coding RNA, 762 nt
Filed under: Rattus norvegicus (Norway rat)
Lineage: Eukaryota; Metazoa; Chordata; Mammalia; Rodentia; Muridae
Description: long non-coding RNA NONRATT012412
Source: RNAcentral